CAGUCGCCACGGUAAUACGUAGGGUGCGAGCGUUAAUCGGAAUUACUGGGCGUAAAGCGUGCGCAGGCGGUUCGUUAAGACAGAUGUGAAAUCCCCGGGCUUAACCUGGGAACUGCAUUUGUGACUGGCGAGCUAGAGUAUGGCAGAGGAGGGUAGAAUUCCACGUGUAGCAGUGAAAUGCGUAGAGAUGUGGAGGAACACCGAUGGCGAAGGCAGCCCCCUGGGCUAAGAUUGACGCUCAUGCACGAAAGCGUGGGGAGCAAACAGGAUUAGAUACCCGCGUAGUCCCUGUCUCUUAUAC
RNAcentral lists this ribosomal RNA (301 nucleotides) under uncultured bacterium. Its description in RNAcentral is "partial 16S ribosomal RNA". It matches the Rfam family "Bacterial small subunit ribosomal RNA", at positions 509 to 807 of the family's 1533-position model. The record is from RNAcentral.